GACGAACGCUGGCGGCGUGCUUAACACAUGCAAGUCGAACGAUGAAGCCUAGCUUGCUAGGUGGAUUAGUGGCGAACGGGUGAGUAAUACGUGAGUAACCUACCUUUAACUCUGGGAUAAGCCUGGGAAACUGGGUCUAAUACCUGAUACGACCAAUCUCCGCAUGGGGUGUUGGUGGAAAGCGUUAUGUAGUGGUUAUAGAUGGGCUCACGGCCUAUCAGCUUGUUGGUGAGGUAACGGCUCACCAAGGCGACGACGGGUAGCCGGCCUGAGAGGGUGACCGGCCACACUGGGACUGAGACACGGCCCAGACUCCUACGGGAGGCAGCAGUGGGGAAUAUUGCACAAUGGGCGCAAGCCUGAUGCAGCGACGCCGCGUGAGGGAUGACGGCCUUCGGGUUGUAAACCUCUGUUAGCAGGGAAGAAGAGAAAUUGACGGUACCUGCAGAGAAAGCGCCGGCUAACUACGUG
RNAcentral lists this ribosomal RNA (471 nucleotides) under uncultured bacterium. RNAcentral describes it as "partial 16S ribosomal RNA". It matches the Rfam family "Bacterial small subunit ribosomal RNA", at positions 28 to 507 of the family's 1533-position model. The record is from RNAcentral.